This 75-nucleotide transfer RNA is filed under the name Firmicutes bacterium ASF500. RNAcentral's name for it is "tRNA-Thr". It matches the Rfam family "tRNA". Rfam says of the family: Transfer RNA (tRNA) molecules are approximately 80 nucleotides in length. The record is from RNAcentral. RNAcentral also lists the same sequence under 3 other names. Lineage: Bacteria; Bacillati; Bacillota.
GCUAGCGUGGCUCAAUGGCAGAGCACAUCACUCGUAAUGAUGGGGUUGUGGGUUCGAUUCCCACCGCUAGCUCCA